Molecule: long non-coding RNA, 1499 nt
Filed under: Equus caballus (horse)
Lineage: Eukaryota; Metazoa; Chordata; Mammalia; Perissodactyla; Equidae
Description: lncRNA (ENSECAG00000042156.2)
Source: RNAcentral
GCCGUUUCUACAGAGAAAGAUGAAGAAUUCUAGCUGCACCAAGCCUGGAAGAAGACUAAGAGAGAAAGCCUCUGGCCCUUGGACGGGAUGGAGUUCACAAUUUUGUCUAAGAGCAGGAAUGAGGUGGCAGUCGAGGCAUGAAGGCAGGAGGGCCUGAGAAGGGAGGGAGAGUGGAGAAGCAGGGAGGACUGACUCCCACACACCUCCCUGGAAAGGUAAGUUUUUUGCAAAGAGAAGAGUCAGAUGUUCAUAGAAGCUGAGCAUGUAAGGACUGCCCGGUUAUGCCAUGAGCAAUCAUUAUUAUAAUACAAUUGUGCCAUGGACCACGCCAUGCACCUGGCACUGUGCUAGGUAUUUUACGUGCCUUAUUCUGAUUCUCAAAACCAUUCAAGGUAGAUGCUGAUACUUCUAUUUUACCAAAGGAAGGACUUAAGGCCCAGAAGGCUUAAGUAACCUGCCCGAGGACACACAGUUAGUACAUUACAGAGUGGGAAGUUGAAGUCAGGACUAAUUUGCUGCGUUAGUUUUGCACAGGCUAAACUGCUGUAACAAAGAUACCCAAAGAACAGAGUUAAAUAAGAUGGAAGCUUAUUUCUGUCUCACAUAACAGACAGGAGUCAGAGGCCCAGGAAAGAGGAUGGCUCUGCUCCACAAUGUCAUUUCAGAGACCCAAAUUUCUUCCGUCAUGCAGCUCCACGACAUCUGAGGGUUCUGUCCUCACGUGCCUGGUUGAAGCUGGAUCCUUACAAUAUCCAUGUCCUUCAGGGGAAGAGGACUGUCCAAGGCAAAUGGCCUUGUCAUGAAUAAGGUGAUCUUUAAUAAGAUUCCUGUUGCUCACAUUCAUUUGCUCAGACUUAGUCAUAAUUUGACAUCGGUCUGCAAUGCAGGCUGGGGAAUCUAGUCAGAUGGCCAUGUGCCAGAUAAAACCAGAGGGCUCUAGAAUUAAAGGAAAAAGACAUUGAAAGCUUUUGAAAUUUUGGCUACAUGAUAUUGCUUCUGGUUUUACAGAUGAGAAGAACAAGUCCCUGAGAGGUGCUGUGAUAGAGAACAUGGUGUUGAGGCUUGUGACUAUGAGCGGACCCUGGUGAGGCAGAGCUGUGGUUUUCUUUGAGUAAAAUGAUAACCGGGUUUCUGUCAUUCCUGGAAGGGAAGGUUCAAGAGAUUAUCUUGGUAGAAGAUGGCAGAGGGAGACUCAUGUUCUCUGAAUAUUAGCUUAAUUCAGAAUCACCACGGAAAAAGAUGACCUAGGAACCAUUGCCUAUUUAAGCCAGCAAAAGAGAUGUAACCCAAAAUGCUGGGGCUGGCCAGGGAUGAGACUGAGGAUCAUCCACUCCAACUCCUAUUCCUCACCAGGGGAAGCACAGGCUCAGCGAUGUGCUUGGGCUUCUCUUCAGUUCCUGUGUGCCUUCUAUGUCGACUUCAGGCCUCUCUGAGAAGGCAGGCAAGCUGGGGAGGAAGGAACUCCAUCUGCUCAGCCCCAAGGAUCAUUGCCAGCACUU